GAUGAACGCUGGCGGCGUGCCUAAUACAUGCAAGUCGAGCGAACAGACGAGGAGCUUGCUCCUCUGACGUUAGCGGCGGACGGGUGAGUAACACGUGGAUAACCUACCUAUAAGACUGGGAUAACUUCGGGAAACCGGAGCUAAUACCGGAUAAUAUAUUGAACCGCAUGGUUCAAUAGUGAAAGACGGUUUUGCUGUCACUUAUAGAUGGAUCCGCGCCGCAUUAGCUAGUUGGUAAGGUAACGGCUUACCAAGGCAACUAUGCGUAGCCGACCUGUGAGGGGGAUCGGCCACACGGGAACUGAGACACGGUCCAGACUCCUACGGGAGGCAGCAGUAGGGAAUCGUCCGCAAAGGGCGAAAGCCUGACGGAGCAACGCCGCGUGAGUGAUGAAGGUCUUCGGAUCGUAAAACUCUGUUAUUAGGGAAGAACAAAUGUGUAAGUAACUAUGCACGUCUUGACGGUACCUAAUCAGAAAGCCACGGCUAACUACGUG
RNAcentral lists this ribosomal RNA (497 nucleotides) under uncultured bacterium. Its description in RNAcentral is "partial 16S ribosomal RNA". It matches the Rfam family "Bacterial small subunit ribosomal RNA", at positions 28 to 507 of the family's 1533-position model. The record is from RNAcentral.